This 119-nucleotide ribosomal RNA is filed under the name Pteropus vampyrus (large flying fox). Lineage: Eukaryota; Metazoa; Chordata; Mammalia; Chiroptera; Pteropodidae. The record is from RNAcentral.
GUCUACAGCUAUGCGACACUGAAUGUGCCUGAUCUCGUCUGAUCUCAGAAGCUAAGCAGGGGUGGGCCUGGUUAGUACUUGGAUGGGAGACCACCUCGAAAUACCAGGUGCUGGAGGCA